CCGAACCGUCAACAAGAGUUGUUGCUGGUCCCCAUGCAGGGGGCAUGUGCACGCUCUGUUUACACAUCCACUCACACCUGUGCACCCUCUGUAGUUCUGUGGCUUGGGGGCUCUGUCCUCUUGCUGUGGUUCUAUGUCUUUACACACACACUGUAACAAAGUCUCAUGGAAUGUAUGUCGCGUUUAACGCAAUGAAAUA
Molecule: unclassified non-coding RNA, 199 nt
Filed under: uncultured Tomentella
Lineage: Eukaryota; Fungi; Basidiomycota; Agaricomycetes; Thelephorales; Thelephoraceae
Description: sequence contains ITS1
Source: RNAcentral